AUUGAACGCUGGCGGCAGGCCUAACACAUGCAAGUCGAGCGGAUGAAGGGAGCUUGCUCCUGGAUUCAGCGGCGGACGGGUGAGUAAUGCCUAGGAAUCUGCCUGGUAGUGGGGGAUAACGUCCGGACACGGGCGCUAAUACCGCAUACGUCCUGAGGGAGAAAGUGGGGGAUCUUCGGACCUCACGCUAUCAGAUGAGCCUAGGUCGGAUUAGCUAGUUGGUGGGGUAAAGGCCUACCAAGGCGACGAUCCGUAACUGGCCUGAGAGGAUGAUCUGUCACACUGGAACUGAGACACGGUCCAGACUCCUACGGGAGGCAGCAGUAGGGAAUAUUGGACAAUGGGCGAAAGCCUGAUCGAGCCAUGCCGCGUGUGUGAAGAAGGUCUUCGGAUUGUAAAGCACUUUAAGUUGGGAGGAAGGGAAGUAAGUUAAUACCUUGCCGUCUUGACGUUACCUACAGAGUAAGCACCGGCUAACUUCGUG
This 484-nucleotide ribosomal RNA is filed under the name uncultured bacterium. RNAcentral describes it as "partial 16S ribosomal RNA". It matches the Rfam family "Bacterial small subunit ribosomal RNA", at positions 30 to 507 of the family's 1533-position model. The record is from RNAcentral.